UACGUAGGGGGCCAGCGUUGCUCGGAAUUACUGGGCGUAAAGGGUCCGUAGGCGGUGUGGCAAGUCGGGAGUGAAAUCUCUGGGCUUAACUCAGAGGCUGCUUCCGAAACUGCCGUGCUAGAGUGUGAGAGAGGCGAGUGGAAUUGCGGGUGUAGCGGUGAAAUGCGUAGAUAUCCGCAGGAACAUCCGAGGCGAAAGCGGCUCGCUGGAUCACAACUGACGCUGAGGGACGAAAGCUAGGGGAGCAAACAGGAUUAGAUACCCUGGUAGUCCUAGCCCUAAACCAUCAGGACUUGGGGUUUGCCCUGUACGGGGCAAGUCCCGUAGCUAACGCGUUAAGUCCUGCGCCUGGGGAGUACGGUCGCAAGACUGAA
RNAcentral lists this ribosomal RNA (374 nucleotides) under uncultured bacterium. RNAcentral's name for it is "bacterial SSU rRNA". It matches the Rfam family "Bacterial small subunit ribosomal RNA", at positions 524 to 898 of the family's 1533-position model. The record is from RNAcentral.